UAGGGAAUCUUCCACAAUGGACGCAAGUCUGAUGGAGCAACGCCGCGUGAGUGAAGAAGGCUUUCGGGUCGUAAAACUCUGUUAUUGAAGAAGAACGUGUGUGACAGUAACUGGUCAUGCAGUGACGGUAUUCAAUCAGAAAGUCACGGCUAACUACGUGCCAGCAGCCGCGGUAAUACGUAGGUGGCAAGCGUUGUCCGGAUUUAUUGGGCGUAAAGCGAGUGCAGGCGGUCUUUUAAGUCUGAUGUGAAAGCCUUCGGCUUAACCGAAGAAGGGCAUCGGAAACUGGGAGACUUGAGUGCAGAAGAGGAGAGUGGAACUCCAUGUGUAGCGGUGAAAUGCGUAGAUAUAUGGAAGAACACCAGUGG
RNAcentral lists this ribosomal RNA (368 nucleotides) under uncultured bacterium. RNAcentral's name for it is "partial 16S ribosomal RNA". It matches the Rfam family "Bacterial small subunit ribosomal RNA", at positions 355 to 715 of the family's 1533-position model. The record is from RNAcentral.